Molecule: transfer RNA, 72 nt
Filed under: Camelus bactrianus (Bactrian camel)
Lineage: Eukaryota; Metazoa; Chordata; Mammalia; Artiodactyla; Camelidae
Also listed under: 1 other name
Rfam family: tRNA
About the family: Transfer RNA (tRNA) molecules are approximately 80 nucleotides in length. Their secondary structure includes four short double-helical elements and three loops (D, anti-codon, and T loops).
Source: Rfam by way of RNAcentral
GAGGGUAGAGCUCAGUGGUAGAGCACAUGCUUAGCAUGCAUGAGGCCCUGGAUUCAAUCCCCAGUAUCUCCA